AUGGUCCUCGUCCGCUACGGCGUCUCCUACCUCGUCGAACACCCGCCUCCACCCAAUGCUUCCGCCACUUACCGCGAGCUCGAUGCCCACGUCGUUCUGUGGAUCUACGCCACACUCUCGGACACCAUGUGUGAUCACGUCGUCAGCGCCACGACCACUUUCGCCCUCUGGAACAAGAUCCGCGACUACUUCCUUGCCAAUCGCACCGCUCGCUUCAUGAUUCUCAACCGCAAGUACCGCAACCUCAAGCAGGGCGAUCUAUCCGUCUCCGAGUACGCUCGCAGGAUGAAACUCCUCACCGACGCUCUCGCCGACAUCGACCGCGCCGUCACCGAGGUGGACCUCACCACCCAGUUCCUCCAUGGCCUCGACAAGCAGCUCGACACGAUCCGGGUGGUCCUUGGCGAUCAGGACCUGCCCUUCGACAUCGUCCUAUCCCUGGUCGUCCUGGCCGAGGAAUCCCAGGAGCAUCGCGCGGCUGAAGAAAGCGCCUCCGUGUUCGCCCUGCAGAGUGGCGGCGCCCCGGGUGCCUGCUCCAGCACGGGUGGCCGUGCCCCAACAGAUCGUGCGGAUCGCGCCCCUGCUGGCGCCCCGGUCGCUACUCCACCGCCGCCCCCGCACCCUGGCCGUGGCCGUGGUGACCGCGAUGGUGGUGACCGCGGUGACCGUGGCCGCGGUCGUGGGCGUGGCGACAACACUGGACGCGGCCACGCCGCUCCUCUCCAGGCGUCGCCCUUCACCGGCUACUUCGUGCCCUACGGGAUGGCGAUCCCCUCCCCGCGCUCCGGUUGGGUCCCGCCAAAUGUGGCUGGCACUACUAGGAAAAGGCCUACUAGUGGUGCACCAGUUUUUCCUACUAAUGGCGCACUACUAGUGCGCCACUAG
RNAcentral lists this ribosomal RNA (885 nucleotides) under Triticum aestivum (bread wheat). RNAcentral's name for it is "partial small subunit ribosomal RNA". Lineage: Eukaryota; Viridiplantae; Streptophyta; Magnoliopsida; Poales; Poaceae. The record is from RNAcentral.